This 316-nucleotide ribosomal RNA is filed under the name uncultured bacterium. RNAcentral's name for it is "bacterial SSU rRNA". It matches the Rfam family "Bacterial small subunit ribosomal RNA", at positions 28 to 333 of the family's 1533-position model. The record is from RNAcentral.
GACGAACGCUGGCGGCGUGCUUAACACAUGCAAGUCGAGCGGUAAGGCCCUUUCGGGGGUACGACGAGCGGCGAACGGGUAGAGUAACACGUGGGUGGACCUCGCCCUCCAGCUCUGGGAGUAAGCCUCGGGAAACCGGGGUACCUAAUACUGGAUAUGACUCCAUGACGCAUGUUGUGGGGUGGAAAGCCUUGUGCGGCUGAGGAUGGGCCCGGCGGCCUAUCAGCUUGUUGGUGGGGUGANGGCCUACCAAGGCGACGACGGGUAGCCGGCCUGAGGAGGGCGACCGGCCACACUGGGACUGAGACACGGCCCA